This 499-nucleotide ribosomal RNA is filed under the name uncultured bacterium. RNAcentral's name for it is "partial 16S ribosomal RNA". It matches the Rfam family "Bacterial small subunit ribosomal RNA", at positions 899 to 1397 of the family's 1533-position model. The record is from RNAcentral.
ACUCAAAGGAAUAGACGGGGGUCCGCACAAGCGGUGGAGUAUGUGGUUUAAUUCGAUGAUACGCGAGGAACCUUACCUGGGCUAGAAUGCUAUCUGACCGUCUGUGAAAGCAGAUUUUCCGCAAGGACAGGUAGUAAGGUGCUGCAUGGCCGUCGUCAGCUCGUGCCGUGAGGUGUUGGGUUAAGUCCCGCAACGAGCGCAACCCCCAUCUUCAGUUACCAGCGGGUAAUGCCGGGAACUCUGGAGAAACUGCCGUCGUAAGACGCGAGGAAGGAGGGGAUGAUGUCAGGUCAUCAUGGCCUUUAUGCCCAGGGCUACACACGUACUACAAUGGAGAGGACAAAGGGCAGCUACCUGGCGACAGGAUGCGAAUCUCAAAAACCUCUUCUCAGUUCAGAUUGGAGUCUGCAACUCGACUCCAUGAAGCUGGAAUCGCUAGUAAUCGCGCAUCAGCAAUGGCGCGGUGAAUACGUUCCCGGACCUUGUACACACCGCCCGU